UUAACACAUGCAAGACGAACGGGAUCCCUGGCAGCUUGCUGUCGGGGUGAGAGUGGCGAACGGGUGAGUAAUGCGUGACCAACCUGCCCUGUGCACCGGAAUAGCUCCUGGAAACGGGUGGUAAUACCGGAUGCUCCGCUCCAUCGCAUGGUGGGGUGGGAAAUGCUUUUGCGGCAUGCGAUGGGGUCGCGUCCUAUCACCUUGUUGCCGGGGUGAUGGCCCACCAAGGCGUUGACGGGUAGCCCGCCUGAGAGGGUGACCGGCCUCAUUGGGACUGAGAUACGGCGCAGACUCCUACGGCAGGCAGCAGUGGGGAAUAUUGCACAAUGGGCGCAAGCCUGAUGCAGCCACGCCGCGUGCGGGAUGGAGGCCUUCGGGUUGUAAACCGCUUUUGUUCAAGGGCAAGGCACGGUUUCGGCCGUGGUGAGUGGAUUGUUCGAAUAAGCACCGGCUAACUACGUG
RNAcentral lists this ribosomal RNA (462 nucleotides) under Bifidobacterium animalis subsp. lactis. Its description in RNAcentral is "bacterial SSU rRNA". It matches the Rfam family "Bacterial small subunit ribosomal RNA", at positions 48 to 507 of the family's 1533-position model. Lineage: Bacteria; Bacillati; Actinomycetota; Actinomycetes; Bifidobacteriales; Bifidobacteriaceae. The record is from RNAcentral.